AUGCCUGCGGUCAGGCCUCGGUCUUCCAGACAAGCGCUGGGAAAACCAUGGUUGUUGCAAGGACCUGUAAAGAGGAGAACUCUUCCCCCAAUUAACCAGCAGCUUUCUGGGCAAUCCUGCUCCUCCCUGGGAGCCAAGAGGGUGCUUAAAGGGGAGAACCGAGGUGGGCCAGUAUACAAGGAGCGCAGCAAACCCUGGGCAACCUUCCCAACAAUGCCAAGGCUGCCACAGGCCCCAGCUGGGGUUGAUUUGGAUGAGCUUUUUGAGGAAACAUGCAAUGAGCUAAGGAGCAGGUUGCUGCCAGCUUCCAAAGACACCUGUGCCCAGUGGGCCAAGGCACAACCCUUGGAUGCAACAGCACAUGGCAAUGACUCUCUGCUAAGUGACUUCUCAGCAUCCCAAAGAAGAGACCAGCAGCCUCCUGAAUGGCACGUGUCCCCUGCUGAGAAAUUCAUAAGCAGCAUCAUGACGGAGCUGUCUCAAUGGCAAGGUCCAGCUCCCCUCUGUGAGGAGUGCUUGGGUGCAGACAGUGAUGUUCUUCCUCAGAGCAUGGUGCGGUCAGUGUGUGCACAGCUGCUGGCGCAGUUUGGGUCACAGCUGACAGAGUGGCUGUGCUUGCAAAGGGGGUGCAGAGCUCUGUGCGAAGCUGCAGCCAGGCUGGUGUUGAGGGGGAUCUCUGGGGCCCGGCUCCAGGCCUGCACCCCUGCAGAAACAUCGCCCCAGCCACCUGGUGCAGCAGACAGCAUGGUGGAGGAAACACGCUGGGACCCUGCAGAGCCCUGCGGUGAAAUGGGCCAACCUCAGGCAACAACACCUUCUCCCAGGAAGUCUGCAGGCCAUCCUCAGGGCAUCCUCCAUGACCUGAGCACGGCAGGGAGGGCUGAGAACCGGGGGCCUGCCCCGCACGGCCCCACACCACCUGCCACAGACUUGCAGGACACAGUCUGGCAGCUGCUAGUGGCAGUCUUGAGCUGUAUGGCGGGGGUGCGAGCCCAGGACCCAGUGGGCAGCUGUCACAGCCAGACACGGGUGAAGCCACAUCAGAGUUUAGCAUGGCUGUGGUGCAGGAGCCRUCAGCACACACAGUCAGCCCAGAUGCAUUGGCAAGCAGAGCCCAGGACCAGACCACAGAGCCUGACAAAACCACGCACCCUGUGGCUGACACCACGGAUGGGGAUGUCUUGCUGCAGAGCAGAUCCCACCAAGACACUGGCAGGGAUGAAACGUGCUUCGAGAGACGCGUGCCUGAGGCAGCAGCACUCACUGAGGAGCUCUCCAGGUGCCAGCGAGCAGGGCCUGCUAGCGACCACCCCACAGCAGUGCCCACCACCCCCGGGGGCCCCAGCACUGCCGGCGGGGCCAUUGCCACAGCUGCCCCAGGUGUGGGGGCCGGGCUGGGGAUCUGGGCAGGGAAGAGCUCACGACAGCCAGGUUUGA
RNAcentral lists this long non-coding RNA (1437 nucleotides) under Apteryx haastii (Great spotted kiwi). RNAcentral's name for it is "lncRNA (ENSAHAG00000015027.1)". The record is from RNAcentral. Lineage: Eukaryota; Metazoa; Chordata; Aves; Apterygiformes; Apterygidae.